This 498-nucleotide ribosomal RNA is filed under the name uncultured Sphingobacteriales bacterium. RNAcentral describes it as "bacterial SSU rRNA". It matches the Rfam family "Bacterial small subunit ribosomal RNA", at positions 903 to 1382 of the family's 1533-position model. Lineage: Bacteria; Pseudomonadati; Bacteroidota; Sphingobacteriia; Sphingobacteriales. The record is from RNAcentral.
CCAGCCCGCUCAGAACUUAAAGGAAUUGAGGGGCCCGGCACAAGCGGAGGAGCAUGUGGUUUAAUUUCGAUGAUACGCGAGGAACCUUACCUGGGCUCGAACGUAAAGAUGACUGUAGGUGAAAGCUUACAUCUCUUCGGAGCAUUUUACGAGGUGCUGCAUGGUUGUCGUCAGCUCGUGCCGUGAGGUGUCGGGUUAAGUCCCAUAACGAGCGCAACCCCUACCUUUAGUUGCCAUCAGGUUAAGCUGGGGACUCUAAAGGAACUGCCUACGCAAGUAGUGAGGAAGGCGGGGAUGACGUCAAAUCAGCACGGCCCUUACGUCCAGGGCUACACACGUGCUACAAUGGCCGAUACAGAGGGCAGCUACCUGGUGACAGGAUGCAAAUCUCCAAAGUCGGUCUCAGUUCGGAUCGGAGUCUGCAACCCGACUCCGUGAAGUUGGAUUCGCUAGUAAUCGCGCAUCAGCCAUGGCGCGGUGAAUACGUUCCCGGGCCUU